GACAGCAGCCGCCACGGUAAUACGGAGGGUGCAAGCGUUAAUCGGAAUUACUGGGCGUAAAGCGCACGCAGGCGGUCUGACAAGUCAGAUGUGAAAUCCCCGGGCUUAACCUGGGAACUGCAUUUGAAACUGUCAGGCUGGAGUCUUGUAGAGGGGGGUGGAAUUCCAGGUGUAGCGGUGAAAUGCGUAGAGAUCUGGAGGAAUACCGGUGGCGAAGGCGGCCCCCUGGACAAAGACUGACGCUCAGGUGCGAAAGCGUGGGGAGCAAACAGGAUUAGAUACCCCUGUAGUCCCUGUCUCUUAUAC
Molecule: ribosomal RNA, 306 nt
Filed under: uncultured bacterium
Lineage: Bacteria
Description: partial 16S ribosomal RNA
Rfam family: Bacterial small subunit ribosomal RNA
Source: RNAcentral